AUGUGUGAAGAGAUGGAGAAGGAAUCAUCUUUGGACCAACAACAAGCUUGCACUACUGCAGAAGUUGAAGGAUUUGUUAGGACCAUCCGAAGCUCUAGCGAUGAUCAGGCCAAAUAUGCGCCCCUUCCUGCUGUUCCCUGCCAAAGUUGCAUGAAAAAAAAAUAGGAGUCAACAUGAAAAGAAAGGAACAGAGUAAGUAAGGUGAUCAACAUUUUUAAUUAUUUUUACAUACCUUUUGGUUUCCAGUUGUACUUAAUUUAUGUUUUAAUUUGAUCUACUUAUUUUAAAUAAGAAUAUAAAUGAAAAAAUGUAAAAAAAUGAAAAAGUAUGUGGUCACUAACUGGUUGUCCUCUGAAUUUUCAUGGAUAGUACUUUGAAAAGUUCUGCAUCAUAAAAACAUAAUCAAGAAGCAGUAAGGAAAAUGUGUUUAUUUACUGAGCUAACUGCAAGGGCUGACAUGCUAAAUUUGGGCUUUUAAAAUGCCCACUUACCUUCACUUUAAAGUUGAUGCGAAGAGUACAGUUCUAGAGUAAUUAGACAUUGUAAAUUUGAAGAAAAUUCCUCCCUCCAAUGAGUAUUUUCCUGUUUGAAGAAGAAGGAACAGCGCAUGUUGUGUGACAGGAUGAAACAGUAUGGACAGUAUGAUUCUACAUUAUGUGUGAUUGAUAUGUUGAAGGAAAAGCUCUCGCUUAAAAUUUAUGAAAAGAAUAGGUCAGUUUAACUUGAAAUAUUCAGUUAUAACUAUCAAAAUUCAGAAAUUUUUACAAUUCAUUUUGUGUGUGACUCUGGUAAAUAUUGAUUAUUUUUUUGAUUUUUUAGGCCAGUGACGAUGCAAUUUUUCUAAAAAUCACUACUUGCUCCUUGAAUUCUUGGAAUUUGUUAUUCUUGCACGGAGCGAAGAAUGCCUCAUAGUGUGGAAUAUUUUGGAAGACCAUGUGCAAAGAAGGUACAGAUUAUACUUAUUUUUUGGCAUGCUGAAAUAGAUAAGAACAUUUGUGAGAGGCUUCACGGGGAAAAAAAGGUUAAAAAAGUUUUGAUUGGUACGUUUUUUUGUUUUUUUUUCUAAAAAAAAAAAAAAAAAAAAAAAAUGAAUAAAAAUUGUUUUUAAUUUUAUGGCACUUUCUUGGUUUACAGAACAAUUUCAGUUCACUCACCCAAAUGUUUUGAGCCAAGGAGUGUGCUUUUGAAUUAAUACAAUUUUUCUUUCAAAUUCAAAAACUUUUUUAACAUUUUUAUCAGUAUAUAUUAGAUGCUGCAAUUGAUCCUUAAUUUUAAAUGAGGCUCUGAACCUGGGUUUACCUCUGUGGUCAGGUUACCUGCUGUCUAAUAUACCUACUGUGAGGACUUUCACCCAGUGGAUAGGAGCCAACCUAACUGCUAGGUCCUCUCACCUAUCCGCGAGGUCCUCUUACCUAUCCGCGAGGUCUCUCCACCUAUCCGCGAGGCAAGGUCCUAACCGCGAGGGGUCUCCACCUAUCCGCGAGGUCCAUGCCUAACCAACUCCCUAACCGCGAGCUCAUGGCAAGGUCAUCACCUAACCGCGAGGCAUUUCCUAACCGCGAGGCCCAAAAUAUGCUGCGAGCUGUCUGCGAGCUCGCUGCGAGGUAAUAUUUCCUCUAGGGCAGCAUCAGCUUCGUCGGCUUGUGAAUCUGGCUAAUAUAAUAUAAAGUCGCUUUAUAACGCACUCUGGCGUCCU
RNAcentral lists this long non-coding RNA (1696 nucleotides) under Bemisia tabaci. RNAcentral's name for it is "lncRNA ENSSSA1UGG005897". Lineage: Eukaryota; Metazoa; Arthropoda; Insecta; Hemiptera; Aleyrodidae. The record is from RNAcentral.